RNAcentral lists this ribosomal RNA (985 nucleotides) under uncultured bacterium. RNAcentral describes it as "bacterial SSU rRNA". It matches the Rfam family "Bacterial small subunit ribosomal RNA", at positions 556 to 1436 of the family's 1533-position model. The record is from RNAcentral.
GGGCGUAAAGUGUCGCGUAGGCGGCUCUUCGCAUCUUGUCUUAAAGCUCCCGACUUAAUCGGGACCCGGGCAAGAGAUGGAAGAACUAGAGGGUUGGGGGAGUUUCCGGAACUGAUGGUGUAGCAGUGAAAUGCGUUGAUAUCAUCAGGAACACCGAGAGCGAAGGCAGGAAACUAACCAAAACCUGACGCUGAGGCACGACAGCUAGGGGAGCGAAGCAGAUUAGAGACCUGCGUAGUCCUAGCCGUAAACGCAUGAAUGCUAGUUGCCGGGAUCGCUUUGUGAAUAACGAAUCAAGAAUCAAGAAUUAAGAAUCAGGAAUGGAAAAUUAAAAUUUUUGUUCCCUUAAUUCAUGAUUCAUUAUUCCUGAUUCGAUAAUGUUCCCAAAGCGAUUUCGGUGACGUAAGGUAACCCGUUAAGCAUUCCGCCUGGGGAGUACGGCCGCAAGGUUAAAACUCAAAGGAAUUGGCGGGGACCCGCACAACCGGUGGAGCAUGUGGUUUAAUUCGAGACGAAGCGAAAGACCUCACCAUGGUUUGACAUCCUAUCGUUUUAAAUCUCUGGAAACAGGGAUCUAUCCGCAAGGAACUUAGGAAAGCUGCUGCAUGGCUGUCGUCAGCUCGUACCGUGAGGUGUUCCCUUAAGUGGGGUAACGAGCGCAACCCUCGUCGUUUGUUAAACAUUCAAACGAGACUGCCCCGACGUUUGUCGGGGAGGAAGGUGAGGACGACGUCAAGUCAGCACGGCGCUUAUGCCAUGGGCCACACACAUCCUACAAUGGCGAAAAACAACGAGCCGCAAGCCGGCGACGGCAAGCAAAUCUCUGAAAUUUCGUCUCAGUUGGAAUUGGAGUCUGCAACUCGACUCCAUGAACUCGGAAUCGGUAGUAAUCGCGGAUCAGCAGGCCGCGGUGAAUACGUUCUCGGGUCUUGCACACACCGCCCGUCAAGCCAACAAAGUCGAGGGCGGCCGAUGCGUGCGAAAG